RNAcentral lists this long non-coding RNA (22055 nucleotides) under Gallus gallus (chicken). Lineage: Eukaryota; Metazoa; Chordata; Aves; Galliformes; Phasianidae. The record is from RNAcentral.
CGGAGUCCGGCCGCAGCUCUGCGCGCCGCUCCGCGCGUCUCGGAACUCCUCCCCGCGGCCCGAGGGGCGCCGCCGCUCUCCGCGGUGGCCGUUGGCUCCGCCCCAAGGCGGUACCCGCGCUCGGGGACCGCCCUCCUUCCCGCGGGUGGCCGCGGCGCUGCGCCGUGAGGUGCGGCCGUGGGGAGCUGCGCUCCCUCGGAGGCCUGAGGUGAGAGGGAAGGCCCGGCGCGCGACUGCAGACCGCGCCGUGCAGGAGCGAGGUGGAGCCGCGGCCGUAGCGUUAAAAGGUUGAGGCGUCUGAGUUUUACCGAGCGUCACAGCAGCUGAGAGGGAAACGGCACUCUGCUCGGAAAAGGUGACGGGAUCCCGGCCUGAGCGUGAAAAGGUGCAGGAGGAAAAUGAGGCGUUCCUCCCGCUAGCACGGGGCGAGUCUGCGCGUACGCGGGGCUGUGGUUGGCAGCUCCGGUUCUAUUCUGCGCUUUUUAGCGGAGAUCAAGGGCUGAGCUGCCGCGUGUAGAACAGCCCGAGGCUGAGGUGUGUGUUUGUUUGCUGGCUGCCGGCUCUGGUGCCGCGGAGCUCGCCAGGAGGCUGCGGCUGGCUGAGGCCUCCAAGCCCGAUUUGGUUCCUGGCUCUCACGAGAUUUGGUGCCUUCAUUCAACAGAACAUGCACGUACAUGAAGGAGUUUUAAAAUUUCAUACCGUUUUAAACACUCUGCUGUACUUCAUUGCAGACUUGGACAUUUCAAACGUGGCUUGUUUGAAUUAGGUGGGUUGGAAGGGAGAUUAAUUGUUUUGCCUUUUAAACUAGGGUGCAUAACUUGCACGUUCCUCUAAAUUAGAGUUACUUAAUCAGAUUUUAACCAAAUUCAGAAACAAACUAAAACCAGCAAUGACCUGGAAGCAACAAUGUGCUGCAUGAAUGUCUCAUUAAAACCUGUGGUUGACUCCAGAUUCAAUUCUGUCAGCCUCUGAAUAAAACAGUUCAGAUGUGAGUCUGCUGUUAGAACUGGCAGUGCAAGCAACUACUAAUAUGUACGCACCAUGAUGUGUGCCAUUUAAUAAAUCAGGAUUACAAAGCAAGGUGAAAUUAAAUAGAAGUAAUCUAUUUCUAAACUUUCCCUUUUCUAGCAGUAAUAUCUGGCACAGGGGCUAUGAUAUUAAUCAUAUUAAUAGAGAAAUGAUACUCUAAACUCAGGGCAAAUUAUUACAUAUGACCAAACAGCUGUUGUCAUUAAUGAAGGUGGCAGAACAAGUAUCAGUGAUAUGUGUUACAGGGAGGCAGGAAGACACACACCUUAAAAACCCUCUGCAGUUCCUUUAGUUCAAGGAACUUUUUCCCCAAAAAGACACUUUUCCCACAGUCAGAAAUUUGUAGUUACUAAUGAGCUACAUUUGCAAACUGAUUCUUAUUGUUUGAGUUUCAGCACAAACCAAGGGUUCAACUGAACCCGUGGCUGUCUGUCUUUUGCAUUCAGUUUUAAGGACAAAUCAAGGAGGCUUCACCAGGCCAUCACAAUGGCCAUGCCUACAUCAUUCAUCAAAAUGACUAAAUGUUUGGUUUUUCCCCAUUAAAAUCCAUAUUGUUUAAUGUUUUGUGAGUAAGAAGUUAGUCUAGAGAGUUCUAGGAAAACUAAGAAUUAAACAACAAAAAGAUAUGCACCUAUAUAUUCAUUGGUGUACACAAAAUCAAAAGUAAUGGGGGAAACCAAUGCAUUUAAAUUCUAGUGAAGAAUUUUGAGUGAGAUUGAUACUGAAGAUGAGCUGUCAGAUAAUUACGCCAAAGAAAUUAGGUUAUGUCUUUUUUUCCCCCUUUGAAUACAGUGAAAAAUAAGAAUAUUUGCUGUUUUCAUCUUACUGAAGUUGGUGUCCGUUCACAAAGAAGAUAUUUAUUUUCUGUUUUCCUCAGAACAAGCACAAGCAACCCCCUUGCUAUGGAGAGAUGAAGUUGGCAAAGUUCAGUCUGCCUCUUCACCUUUUUGUUUUAUGUUUAAGUUAGCCAAAUAAUUCAUAGUGCUGCAAAAUCAGAGAAAAAAAGAUUGUGAUUUCAGGUGACAGCAGCAUUUAUCCAUGUUUCUGUCUUGUGUAAAAAAUAGAAAUUAUGUAAUUUGUUCAAAAAUGCUUUACCUAUUUACAGAUAAUACAUUAUAUAUUGAAACAAGCACGUUCUUAUGCAAGAGGUGCAAAAUCUCCAUUGUUGUAUUCAGCUUAGAUUAUUCUAUUUAUUUCAACUUGUGCAAGCACUAAAGCAUCAGUAAUUAAUAUAUUAGAAUGGUACAGAUGUGGUUGAUACUGUGCAGUUACUGAGUUUUACGUGGUAAGCAAUACUGUGUAGUGCUGGAAACCUGAUGAAAGGAAGUAUCAGGAAAAAAGUAUAAAAAUGUUCAUAUUAAGUGCAAUUGAUGCUCAUUUCCUGAAGGUGCUUGGACACUAGCCAAUGCAUGGAAAGGAAGAUGCAUUUAAAGAAUCAAAUAACUUCUUGAAAAUGGUAUCUCCCAUACAAUCUCAGUGGAAAUUGUCCAACGCAUCACAACAGCUCUUGACUUUGAGCACCACCUCUCUUGUCUUGAGCACAAAUAUUUGUUACGCUUCCUUCUCGCUGCAGGGAAGUUCAGUUACAGAACUUGACAUUUGCCUCCAAGAGUAACAAUGAACUCAGUGUUCCUCUACUUGCAACAGAAGUAAGCACAGUGAACGGAGGUGGAGUAAUUUUAACUAGUAGAGUAAAGCUGUUUGAGAGACCUCACUUUCAUUCUAUUGCAGCUCUGUUUUGUUGCAAUAAACUACUAGUUAUGAAAAACAGGCAAAUAAUAGGGUAUCAGUUCUUUAAAAACCAAAUAUUGCUCAAAUGUAAAUAUUUGUGACGUAUGACAAGUAUUCAUUUCAUUGUGGAAUUGAAAGCUGUAUUUUAGGGAAGGAUAGUGUUUAAAGAAACAGAAAUGAUGUAUGCUUUUGGUUCUAUAACAUAUUACAUAAAGGAUUUCUUCUAGAAGUGUAGAUACUGUUCAGUUUUGUUAAUGGGAGAAUGUUCAUUAAAGCACACAAUAAACAUAUCCUGUAAUUAAUGUAAUUAGCACAGAAUUAUCAAAUUAACAUCAAUAAUAUUGUUUUUACGCAUUUCAAAGCCCUGUCAAGUACACACCGUGCUGGCGAAGUCCCGUGUCACUGUUUGGGGUGUAGCUGUAAAAGUCUUAAUGCAGUGUGACACCUCAGUCAUUUGCAUUUUCCAAAAGCUUCCCAGCAGUUCUUUCCUAAGCAUAUCAGAAAGAGAGGUUUCAUUCUCAGUGUUGUAGAAAGCAAGGCCAUAUGUGAGUUUGAUAAUUUCACUGUUGCAAAUGCUAUAACCAGUGCAAGUGGCUGACUGGCUAUAAGUCAGAACUUGCUACUGUUGUUUAUAGGAACACGCUGUCUUGACAUGCCUGUAUUCAGCAGGUCUUCUGAUCUGUUUUUCUGAUAUGUAAGUAUUUGGUAACUACAUCAAGGAAUCACACACAUCCUGGGGAGGAAUUUCACUCAGUAGAAUCCCAUUUGCAGUAGUAGUGUAAAUUUUAGCAAAUAAUUUAAAAAGAGAGUUGGUGUAUAUAUUCAGGUAAUGCUUUUUUUUCGUCAUCCCUGUCUGCAGGCAGUGUGAUGCUCAUUUGUGGCAUCCUUCUCUAGAAAGCACUUGAAGCUUCUAUCUUCUAAACACAAGGAACUGAAGGACUUUGAAUUGUGGCCAAACUUGUGCAGCCUUAGAGACAAGCUUUUAUUCACGAGUUACCUUGCCAACCACAAGUAGCACCUUCUCAGAUGAAGUGUGUCAUACCUUCAUGCCACUUUACAGAAGUGAGUUAUACUUACCAUAAAAAUGUAAUUUUCUUUAUUUUUUUAAUCACUGUCUUGAAUCUGUUCAGACUUCUUUGGAUACCACUGUAGAACAUGUUGGAAAUAUACCUUCAUGGAAGUACAGGAAACAAUAUGUUUGUGCCCAUAAAACACAUUUCUGUGCAUGGGAUAAAGAGAGAUGUAUUUCGGAGUUUCUGUAAAUCUGCUUUUACCCAGGAGAACCAAUGAACCACUUCUUUUUUUUUUUUCUUUUCCUGCUCAGGUUCCAACUAGUACACAGUGUAUGAGUUUGUUGUCUCACAAUUAGCACUUACUGAAUGAUUAGCCUGUAAGGAUUUUAAUUAUGUGCUAUUAGGAUCCAUUUAGUGAGAAGAGCAUUUUAUAAUGCUUCUUCAUUGCUGCAGGUAUUUUUGUGAGAAAGUAAUUCCAGUUUUUCCAGCAUGUAUAUGGAGCAUACAUAGUCCACAAAGGAAGCCAAGUGAAGCCUGGGAGGCUGUGGCUGCAGAAGUUGCUUGUAGGGAAUUUUGAUCGUGUCCAAACAAGAGGGAAGUUUUCUAUUAACACUGUGGAGGUGCUUGCCUUAUUUUCACUGUCCAAAGAGAUUAGUUCUCAUUUCUUUGGGUAGGUCUUUAACUGGGAGAUACAUUAGCAAAUACCUAUUAUCUCUGCACUUCAAUCAUUUUAGGCAGUUUAUUUCCCAAAGGUUUGAGCUGAUAAUAGAUUCUGUAUUUCCACAGGGGGCUCCAGAAUCUCUAUUCAAUCUUCCUGCCAAUGACAACAAACAAACAAAGAAAAGCCCUUGAUGGUAAUACUUAUUGUCUCCUUUACUGAUAUCCAGUAAAGGGACUAGGUAGAAGGAAUAUUAUUUGUCAGCAUGAUGUCAGUUUAGCAGGCCUUGCAAAAAUGUUCUGUCCUUUCUUUAGAAAUACAGGAAAAGCCCUGCUGAAACUACAGAAUAAAUUCUUUCCCUUUUCAGAAAGCAUCUUCUGCUCCAUAUCACGUAGUCCGCAGGACUCCCAGCAUUACCUUACUUCAAAAUUUGGUCAUUUUUGUGAAUAUCAAAGAUGAUGGAGCUGAUGGUAAAUUCAUACUUUAAAGUGGCUGCUCCUGUUGUUUAACUGAGUUGCAAGUGCAAUGUGUUUGAAUUGCAGAAAUAGGAGAGCUAAGUGUGGUUUCUUAAUAGGCUACAGUUUAUGAAAGAUCCUGAACUCCUUGUCAAUUGCUUCCCUUGGUCUUUGAGAAUUAGAAUUUGCUGAAAUUUCUGGUAGUGCACCCAAGCAUUUGACGAGAGGAUAUCUGCUGUGGGGAUGUGUGGUGUUCAGUCUUGGAGCACUGGCAGCCAGCUGCUUAUGGCUAAUUAAGUGAGAGAAUUUCUCACACAGAGUUGAUUUAAUUUCUGUUAGAAUGCCCAGAGCACCAAAUGCAUGUCUGGUCACUGCGAAAACAUCCUUAAUACACAUUGAAAGAAUUAAUGCAAUUAAUUCACCACCACCAGAGGAAAAACCUUGGGAUUUGUUUGUGCAAAUUGAAAACUGAAAAUGAAUUUGCAAAACUAACUGUAUGAUAUUCUCACUUUUUACAUCAUGUGAGUUCUGUUUGUCAUGUAAAGCUCUGUCCUGAGAAGCAAGAAGCACGUACUAUGUUAACUAGGAGAGAUGAUGGGUCUCCUAAUUCCCUGUUGGAGACUGGAGAGUCCAUGACCUGUUUGUCCCAGGCAGUAAUGAAGACCUUUUCCCCAGGGGUUCAGAUAUCUCUUGGCCAUUUUAUUUUGCUUAAGCAUUUUUAUUUGUUAUAAUGAGAACUUGGGAAAAGAACAGUUCAAAAUGUAAAAAUAGCAAAAUGUGCGGAGGCUGCCGUUCAUUUUGUAAGUCAAAGCUUGUGACUAAAGUAUGCUGCUUAGCAACAAAUGGGGGAAAUCUGAAGGUGAUCACAUCAUUUUGCUCUCCCUGAAAAGUAAUUAUUCAUGUUCCUCCUACCUUUUAAGCACCAUCCUUUUCAUGUCCCUUUUCUGCUUGGGAUGAGCGCUAUGUGGCUGGUUGAGUUGUGCAACCUAGUUUUAUCAUCAGCAAUACUUGUGCUGCUGCAGCUGUGAUUCAGCUGGAGAGCUCCAGCUCAGAUUUCAGCUCUCUCUCUCCCAUAAUGCUGCACAUAAUGUGUACUUGUCCUUAUGGACCAAGACAUAAAUGUAUGUGGAACUGUUGGGGGGAGUCCAGAAGAGGGUCAUGAAGAUGAUCAGAGGGCUGGAGCACCUCUCCUAUGCAGAUAGGCUGAAAGAACUGGGCUUAAAGGAGGGGAAUCAACUUUUUUUACAUGGGUAGAUAGUGGUAGACAAGGGGGAAUACUUUAAACUUAAGGAGGAAAGAUUUAGAUUGAAUGUUGGGGGAAUUUUUUUUACUGAGAGUGGUCAGGUGCUGGAACAGGCUGCCCAGAGAGGUUGUGGAUGCUCCGUCCCUGGAGGUGUUCAAGGCCAGGUUAGGUGGGGCCCUGGGCAGCCUGGUCUGGUGCUUGAUCUAGUGGCUGGCAGCCUGCCUGUGGCAGGGGGAUUGUAACCUGAUGAUCCUUGGGGUCCUUUCCAACCCAAGCCAUUCUGUGAUUCUGUAUGUGGCCAUUCAUUAAGCUCGUACAUCAGUCUCAAUGAGCGCUGUUCACCAACUCUUGCCUUAACUCCCCUUCUGUGACUUCUUACACCCUGAUUUCUGAGUUUGACUUUUCACGUCUUUUUGUAUGACUUCAAAGAGCACAAGGUUGCUUUUCUUUCUAGGCUUGAUUUUUCUUUAGGAAAUUACUUGUACUCCAGGUUGAAAACAACAUUUUUCAUAAAUAUUACUUAUUAACUAUUCUUGGUUUGGGGCAGUUAGUAAGCUGUAAAGUUUCUGUUCAUUUCCUUUGAAAAAAAUGUGAUGAUUGUCUUCCCUAACUGACUGAGAGUACUCCCCCCCAGUCUGGUUAGAAUCCUCACAUUCUGGGUUUGGAUUAAAGCUUUUAACAAUUUUUAUCCUCAGUAAACAAACACCCCAGAAAUCCACCUAUGUGCAGAAUGUGUUCAACAGUUCUUGAAAUAGUGUUCUGUUUCUGAGCUUGCAUUUGGAUAAAAGGCUGUGCAUCUUCAGACUAUGAAACCAUUUCAGAAAACAAAACAAUCAAACAAAAACAAAAAACAAACAAACAAAAACAAACAAAAUCCCACCCAAAACACUAGGGAGGGGAGGUAGCUCUCAGUUUUAGAAACAAUUCUCGUUGACUGCUCUGGCAAUGAUCUUCAGAAUUACCUCAUUAUUUAUUCUUAGUGCACCAAUUAAACAAACGGUUUUAUAUAUAGAAACAGGAUGGACUUAGCUUUUUCAGGGUCCUUUUCAGAGACAGACAUCAAAGAUGUACAGGAUCUAUUUGCUCACACGUGAUGUUUAAGCCACCUGAAAUAUGGCAGGAAUCCCUAAGAAGCCAAUGGGGCUGAGAAAGAAAAAAUAAUCCCAGUUUUUUGUUUGUAACACAUUGUGGAAAAGAUUAAGAUUGCAAUUAUUUGUUCAAAUGUUCAUGUGAAGGAAAUAUUAGUGAAAAAAAAAAAUCCUGAUUAUGAUCCGUCAGCGGGUGAUGUGCAAUAUAAUGCUUUUGGUUAUAUGAAGUAUGAUCAAGGCAGCAGUUGAAAUAUCUUUGCCGUCUGAAAAGACUUUUUUUAUAGAUUAGCACUUGACACACUGAGGUGUGCAGUAGAACAGUCCUCAGAAGUUUCUAGCUGUUUUUUUUAAUUUGGACAGGCAGGACUCUUGGAGGAUGUCUAGAUUUCUGUUGUUGUGGUAGAGCUGAAGGUGAUCUGAAUGUGUCCAUUCUGUAAGAGGAAUCUCUCUCAUCUUAGACUUCCAGGCUUCAAGCCUUAAUAAUAGAGUGCAACACUGUCAGUUACUAAAACAAAAAAAAGUGGAUUGAUACACUUCUGAAUGCAUCUGUAAAAAAAAAAAAAAAAAAAAGUACGUGUUGGCAGUUAGAAUCAGGUCAUAGUUUAAUACAUGUAUACAGUGAUUGCUAUGUUUUUUUCUGAUUCUUUUUUCCAACUUUUAAUUUUCACUGAUUUUAAAGAUGAAGCAGGGAGUAAGUUUACCUUAGCAAGAAGAAGAGCGAGGUAGAGGGGUUUGAUUGUUAAAGAAGACUUGAGUGGAUGUUGGAAGUGUAAUAUGUGUUAAUAGUCUUUGUUGGUUUUGGUCUUCUCAGUCCUGAUAUGUAACAAUGCAUGGAAUAUGAGUUAUUUUAGGCUCUAAAAAUUUGACAGUUGUAUUACUCUGGUGCAAUAAAAGGAUAUGAGACAUAAAUGUCACAAGAAACUUUGUGAAUUCUGCUAUCUAUGCUUAAGAUUCCAAGAAUUUUGUUGUGUGCAAAAAAUGCUCUGAAAAUUUCAUUAUUUCCUAUACCACCAACUAAUUAUCUAUAUUUAGUCUGGUGUUAAUCUGCUUCCAAAAACAUAAUACUCAAAAGGGAAAAAAAAGUUUAUUAGCAAGAACUGCCAAUGGGCUGCUGCUCUGUGUUUUCUCUAAAUGUCAGUUUUCCAACUAAGUCACACCUUGAGUCUGAGACCAACGUGAAAAUAAAGUACAUGUUGCAGAUCUAAGUCCCUGGCUAUUGAGUACUGGACAAGGAUCCAGUGCAGUCAGUCUUGAGAAGAGCUCCACGUUAAUUCUGCAGAGUAGAUGCUACAGACUGCAGUAAUACUGAAGCAGCAUUCCUGAGGACAGACAACUGGAGAACCCAGACAGACAUCAAGUUAGGAAAAGAGAAGGAAAAUAAAAGAAAACAAACAUAGGAAAGAUGUAUGAAAGAUGAAAGUUUAAGAGAGAAUCUGAAAAUAAUGCAAACAUAGCAGUCAUGGGAACUAAGUUUCAAAGAAGCCAUAAGAUGUUACUUAAACUAAUUUCAAACGAUGCUGUGGGCAUGCAACAUGGACCUAAAGUGCAGCUGUGCAGUCCUGGCGCUGCCAGCCCCUGGAGAAGAGGAGGCUGGGGGAUCUCAUCAUAUUUGAAAAAUCGUGGCUGUUGGAUGAAGUCCCUGGUGAGUGAAAAAGGGAAACAUUCCUCCCACUUUUAAGAAAGGGAAAAAGGAAGACCCGGGGAAUUACAGGCUGGUGAGCCUCACCUCUGUGCCUGGGAAGAUCAUGGAGCAGAUCCUUCUAGAAGCUUUGUUAAGGCUCAUGGUACAUAUGGUAGCAUCCAGCUUAUGGAGCUUGAAAUAAAAAUUGUCAAUUGGGAAGCCAACACAGUUCUGUAGCAAUUCUCAGUAUUUCUUUAUGCUGUUUGGCACAGAAAUUAUGUAUUUGUUUAAUAGCUUUUUUUUGGCACACACUUGCUUUUGGAUUCUGUUCUCCAGUCACAGAAGUGGAAUUCGAGAUGACUAAAAGAAAAGUCAAGAGAAAUAUUUUUUGAAAAUUAUUUGUGGUUAUAUUAUCACUGAGAAUGAGGAAGGCUCAGUCACAAAGCCCUCACAUUCAAGCUUUUGUACUUCUUUUAGGAGUCGCUGUUCUACAGUACGGCCGUAUGUUGUACAAGCAGCAUGGGUUUCUCUGCAGCUGGCUUGUGUUCAAGUUUUGCAAGCAUACAUUUGAAAGCAGUUAAUAUCGCUGGCACUAGAAAUGCCUGACUGCAACAUGCUUAUACAGAAAAAAUAAUUUUGAAGAUUUUGUUUGUUCUGGAAGGAACCACUCUGACAACAGGGGCAAGUAAAAAACAACGGUGGCCUUUGUAGCUAAAAAUUGCAACUGCUACCACUACUCGGAACAGUAUCCAGAUAAUUUAGAUACAGGAACUACAAUGUAACCUAUCUUGUGCAAAGUAACCUUUGCCAAUACAAGCUGCCUUUGUUUCAAAGAGAUUCUGGCUUUGUUGUUACGAGAGGAAACGUCAAGCAAGCAAAGCCUGGGACAAAGUGUAGAAACAAGCAAUUUGGUAACUUAACAUCCUCAUCGAAAAAGCAUAUAAAACCUAUCAAUUUUACAUAUUGACUUUUAAUUUUAAAUAAACAAGCACAAAGUUAAGAGUCAAGAAAUGACAAGAUACCCAAAAUUCAUCGCUUUUGGUGAAAGAAUGCUAAAGAACACCAUAAGGUCAGAGAAUGCAUCCAAAGGAUUUUCAUCAUUUUUCCAUGGUUUUUUUUGUUUUUCUUUGGCUGCUUGUAGGUGAAGUAUGACUCCUUGGCUUCGUUAUUUCAACUUUAGGUGGUUUCAUGACAUGAGACAUCUCCCACCUUUCUUACCAGUUGGUUACUACUGCUUCAGAAGGACAAACCACUAAUGUGCCCUCAGAGAUUAUUAUAACCUAGACUGUAACCAAACCUCAUAAAGAUAUCCAGACAAAAGGAGCAAUACCAUACAACAAUAACUGCAGCAUAUAUUAAAGAAAAAAACUGCAAUAGAAAAUAGUUACAAAAAUUCCACUCAAACAAUAUCUAUUAAAUAAUAUGCAGUGCAAUCAAAUAAUAUAUGUAUAUGACUUUGAUCUAGCAUAUAAUUAAUGCAGCAAAGGCUUUACAACAUCUUCACAUAGCCUUUAUUUUCACCUUACACAAACCUAAGGAAAAAAAGUACUGACAAAGCUGCUGUGCAAUACUGGGUGUCAGUCCUGCCAAUCUGAAAAACAGCAAAAAACCCCAUUUGUUUAACAUCUUAAUGAUGCAAAUGCACAAACAAUACAUGUUUUCAAAGGUUGUUCAACUCCCCUUUUUUUGAGCCAAGUUCCUUAAGACACACAUUCAGGACAAUUAUAUUUUUAGUUCAGUUUUCUGGUAUCCUAGCACCACUGUUCAGGCAUUCUCUAUGCAGAACAUUUCUGGCCUUAUUGCUCUGAAUAAGCAAAUGCCUUGUGGAAGGACUUAUAUACUAAAUGGAAAAAAAGCAGCAUGUACAGCAAUAGAAACCCUAAUCUUAGCUACACACCAAAAAAAUGUUCUGAUCUCAAUACAGGGAAAGCAGAAGCAAGAGGUAUGUACAGUUAGAAUAAUUUAUUUUUUAAAUUAAUGAAUUCUAAUUUUGUUAUGAAUCAUCUUAUUGGUGAAAUGCGCAUCUGCAGAAAAAAAGUUCAUUUUCAAAAUCUCACAGCUCAGACUGUAAAUUAACAAGUUUGUAAUUGACACUUCAGAUGCACAGCAAACAUUAAAUCUGAAAUUGCACAUCAGGUCUUCACUGAGCUUGAACAGAAAACUAAUAAUUUACUUAAUUGUGAGAGCGUAUAGAUCUGUCAUUAAAAUUUUAAAAUAUACAUAUGCAAGUCUUUACAGAUAAUUAAGAGUUUGUAAACAGCUAAUGUGAUUACAUUAGCAUGUAAUGACAGAUUGGUAAUGAUCAAUCUUUUUGGCAAUUGCAGUUUGCUGCAUUGCUGUCACAUCAAAGCUAAGUGCAUAAUAUGUGCUUUUUAGCAAUGUAAACAUUCACGAACUAUCAAAAUAAUCCCAUUUCCUCUCUGCUUUAUGCUGCACCAAAUGCUAAGAUAUCUUCCAGGUGACACCAGCUUUACUGAAUUCACUGACAGAUGCUCUACUUAAGACAUAAAAAUGCAAGUGAAUAGGAUAUGAAAAGAAGACAACAUUGGCAGAACUGUUAAUUCUUUUGGAAAACCUUACCCAGAAAGCCAUUGCAUUAUAUGAGAGGAGAUGUGCUGUCAUAAAAGAAUAGUCCCAAUGGUAUACCUAUAUUUUACUUUAAAGGAAAUGAGGUGAAAGAGCUUUUAGCUUUAACAAGACAUAUCUUUCAAAAGGAAACAUCUCUUUCAGUAAGACUUAGCACUUAACUUUAAUGGGCUUGAUGAAGAAUUUAGUUCAUUCAGUGUUAUUAUAAAAUGUUAAAGUGCUGUAGAAAUAACAAUCAUUUGCAUUUCUGUAUUAAAAAUUUUCCUCAUGAAACCAGCCUUCAGUAAUAACUAGCUCAGAUACUAAACCUGAUGGGACAGCACUUGCAGAGAACAGCUGCUUAUUUUAGAGGGUAUUUCUAAAAAUAUUUCAUGUAUCCUGCCACAGUACCGUGCAGGAAAAGCUUAUCUACAACAUAUGCUGGUCAGUCCCAUUAGUCAUCUUUUAUUUUUUUCUUUAGAUAGCGCCUCCUUGUAGGUCAUGUGAAUGAAGUCAAAGAGUUGUGUGGCAUUGGCGGCAUUACCCAAAAUUUCACAGAGUUUGUCCUUUGACAGUGUCACCAGCUCAGCAAUGCUUUUCACGUGGUUCAUUAAGGCAUGGCAGUUUUUUGCAUUAACACCUGGCAUUUUUAAUAGAAAGUCCUGAGGACCAGGGUUAUACUUGUCUGACUCAGGAAGAGUUUCAGAAUCUGCUGUGACUGCCAUUGCAGUUUCUGCGUCAGGCUGUGGACGGUUUUGUUUUAACUCUUCAAACAGUUCAGCAGUAGCAUGGGGUGAGGGACACCACAGGAUACGUAACUUAGGGAAGUGGAGUGUGAGAAGGGUCAGUUUAGAAGUAACAUCACUACUGGAAAUCUCCUGACGUAGGGAGCCUUGUGGAAUCAAGGAGAAAGGUUUGUUAGGAUCAAAUUCAAUCAGAAGAAUUGGUCGCUUAUAGUAACGUGACAUAGAAAUGCAUUGCGUAUACAAUCUUCCAUUAUUUAAGGAACCGAUAAGAUCGCUGAUACUUUUUCGCUCUACACAGAUAUCAGGAGUUAAAAUGUAAUCUCCAACUUCCAAAGUAACAGGCUCAAUGUCAAUACCACGACGAUGAAUCAGUGAUGGAAGCUCACUACGAAAUUCCCGCAUGUCCACUAUUAUAGUCUGUUGAGCAGUCUUCUGUGCCUGUCCACCUAAAGGGCAAAACAAAUAGAGUUAACCUGUCCUCAUGACCUUUGACUAUACCUUCCCUGAAGCACACUGCAUAAUGGAAGCACUGUUUUUAUUUCUCUCCACCUCGCUACAGGCAGUGUUAGUCUCAUAAUCAACCAGCUGUCCAGAAAUAGUCCAAAUGUUAUCUCAUCUUAAUGGUAAAAUACUAAUUAAGCAAUAGUUUCUUUUCAAUGAAUUAUAUUUUUCUUUGUUAUUUCACAGACAAGGAAGUGAGAGAUGGACUAAGGCAGAUACUAUUUGAUCCCCAUCAGGAAUGCAGAAUCAGUGUGCCUCCAUCACCCACCCACAUGUUUUGGACGACAUUCAACCACAGCAGGUUACAGGCCUUUUUCACAGCUCGGAGCUGCAAGCUUAACUUCAGAACUGCUUACCUGCUUUGCGUGUGUCAGUGGAAACAGAGGCAGGCUUAACAUCUCUUAUUAGGUCUAGGGCCGUGAGGUAGCGCUGUUCUUCUGUUGAGCUUCCAUAGAUGAGGAAAUAAACCCUACAGGUUUGGAGGAAAAAAAAGAAAAAGUUGACAGAUAUUUAAGAUUAGAAGCACUAACUGCCUGAAAAAUUUCUAUCUCAUUUUCCGUCUUUUACCAACGUCAUAUACUCUUACUGAAACUUUGGGAUUCAACGAGAGUGGAUUGCCAGAAGUGGGCAAUAGAUUUUAUUGUUCUUUCAAGAUAAAAAUUUAACCAACUGCAUGCUUGAUUAGCACCAAGUCAACUUGCCUCAGAGGCUUCCCAGGUCUGCCUGCCUUGUAGAUUUCCAGCUGCCGAACAAAAGUUAGUUCUGCAUCAUACAGUACAACAUAUCUUGGCUCUACUUCAUGCAGCACCCGAGUAAGAGCGUAGGGAUCACUGCAACCGUACAGUGGAUGAAUAAUUGUGAGCGGGUUUUUGAAAAUACCAUAGUAGGAAUCUGAGGGUAAUUUCACAGGGAAAUCUUCAGGAAAGGUCUCUUCAAUACUGCCUUCUUGGCUUCCAUUUAAUUCUUUGUUAUCUUCCACAUCCAACUCCUCUCUGUUUUCCUCCUUAGUUUUCCCUAUCAUUUGGACUACAGUUUGGUCAUGCUGCUUCUUGUGUUUGUUUUGUUUUGAACCAGUAGAGAGUUUGGCUUUUUUGGCUUGAGGUCCUGUGUCUGGUCUGGCAUUUCCUUUGGACUUGACCACUUUUCUGUCCUUUAUCCACACUUCUCCAGCUUUCUCAUCCUUUCCAAGUGUUUUAUUAUACAGUCUCAUUAAAAAGGCUUCUGCUCCAUCAGUAAUAUACUCCCUGAGCUGUGCACAAGCUCGGUCAUCACUGGCACAAAUAAGAACUUGUCCUGCAGUCAAGAAACAACAUAAUGUUUGUAAUCUGUUACACUAUAAUUCCUUUUAUCCAGCCACAAGACAUCUUGAUCAUAUAAACUGUUAUUAAUGAUCCUAGAAGCAUGCCUGCCAAAUGCCUUUACAGUUGGUGGUCACAGUUGCUGUGGACUUACAGGAAGUUUGAAUUACACCACAUUUUAUACCAAACAAGAUCAGAGGUUAAUGGAAGUUCAGCAUUCCUUAUUCUCACACCAUCUAAAUCAGUUUUUUUCUUUUAAUCAUUUGAAAGAACGCAAAUAUAGUAUAUACUGAAGCAGACAACUUUUUUAUACAUAUAUAUAUAAAAAAUCUUUUUUAUGCAGAAUAAGAGUACUUAAUUGGGACUGUUCUAGUUUUCGGCCUCUGUCAUCUGUGUCAGGGAUUCUAAAAAAUGCAUGUUUCACACAGUAUUAUUGACAGUUGUGGGCCCUAAAUAACAAUUCUCUGCUAGCUGACUCAGAUAAACUCCUACAGCACUAGGCAAGAGAGCUGGUUCUUAUCCACAAUCAGAACACUGUGGGUGGGAGAAAAGAGCACUUUUUUACCCUCACAAUUUCCUAAAAUAAAGCUUCCUAUAACAGGAAAAGCAGAAAAGGAGUUAGAAACACACUGGGUAAGAGAUAACAGGAAGACAUCUAUGAAAAUGUUAUAACAUAGAGAUCAGGUGCAAGGCCAAGGUUACAGUGGUAGAGAAGUCAUCUGGUUCCAGCAAAUGGAAGCACCAGCACAAACCACUGGUAGCCACCUUCAGCUUUUGGUUUGACUCUAUUCUGGGAAAGGUCACAUUUUAAUGUGUAAAGUUUUUGUAGUAGUUUUAAAACCAAAUACUUCUACAUAAACACUUUGUCCUAAUUAAGUCCACAAAUUAUUAUAUUUAAAACUAUUAAGAUAAUUUAAUAUCCUCUCACCUGGACCACCGAGGUCUUCACUGUUCUUAUUCUCAUUUUCAAUCUCAUUGAGUACUUCUCUCAAAGCUUCCCAUUUUGGGUUACUUUCUAGAACCAAUUCCCUUUUCAGUUCUGAAACAAAGUACAAUUGAACACAGCAGCUUUUACAAGCCAAAAUACUCUUCAGAACUUUAAUGGUUCAAUGUCAUAGCAUGAUAGCUGUUGGCAAGGACAAUAAUCAAUAGCCUACAUACGCAACUUGUUAUACUGAGGGGGCUCAAGAACACUCAUUAAAAUUAUAAACAUUUAAAAAUAGGGAAAAAUGCUUUAAUGAAGCAAAAAGUUAAAGUAUUCACUUGUCCUUCAAUUCUGAAACUCCUGAAUAUGUAUCUGUGCAUUUUAAAUUAAACUAAUGGCAGCUUCUUCUCCCUUCAUAUGAAAUGAAUAAGAUCAAGCUAAAUACUUAUGCAAUUCAAGAACAAUCCCAUACAAGCUCUCCUAGUGAUUAGGUGAGUAAGGUGAGAAGAAUCUUUUAUUUCUUCAUUACUUUCUGUUUUUUAUUACAUAGUUUUUGAGGAAAGAUUAUGCCUUGGUAUCUUACGUAGCUGACUGAAGUCUGGAGCUGUGUAAGACCCAUGUAUUGAACCACAGCACAAGUAAUAAUAUGCAGACUGUUCAAAAUCAUGUGACACUCUCCAAUUUAAAAUUAGGAAUGAUGAGUACCAUUUUCCUUCUUUACAUCUCUGUUUUCAGAGACUUUGCCCUUCUGAUUCAGUUUCUCAUCUGCAGUGCGAUAAACUCUGGCUCGAGCAUUUACAAACAUGGAAGUACUGGAGUCAAGAAACAGCCAACCUAAAGACAAAAGGAAAAUGACAUUUGAACUGUACAUGAUUCAGACCAUUCCAAUACAAGCCCACAUAUCUUAUCUGGAUUACCUGUACAACCUGCACUACCUGCUCACUAAGUAACUACUAGCUAAAUAAAAAGCAGAAAUACGAUACAAAUCUCACACUGUUAAGUAACAGCAGUUAUGUGGGCAGAUGAAAGCAUUAUGUGUCAAUAAAAACCUACGUCCUUAUGGCUAGUUAUAUAAAACCUAAUUAGAUACCUUCGUAUGUUUAGGAAUGUUGAUUAAAAGAAUCAGCAUCUCAGUAUUUCAUGCAUUAACUUACCUGAAUUCUCACCAAAAGCUUUUUCACUUGCUUUCAGCGACUCCAGAAGAUUAAGGAAAGUGACACAAUCAUACUGAGUUAGAUACUGUAGCAAAGUACGCAGUAUCUUCAAAUCCUGGACCAAAGAUUUUGUCUUAGCUCCGAGUUGAUGCCAGAGAGGAUCUAAAUAGUGACGUAUUGUCUAGAAAUAUAAAUUGGAAAGUUCAAGAUGUCAAAUAUCUACUAUACUAAUCAAGAUAGGAAUGCCUUAAAAAAAAAACAACCACACGUAAUAUAGAUUUUUUAACAAAUUCAGGAAUUCAAAAAUUCAAAAAACUUAGGCAAAGUAACAGUUAGCAGCUAUAUAUAAUUUAAUGUGUUCGGUACAUAUUUUCUUUCCCAUAUUAAAAAAUUGGUAAUAUAAAUAUUAAUUUAAUAUAUAUGUGCUCAUAUAUAUAUAUAUGAAUUUAAUAUUCAAUAUACAUAUAUAUAAAUAUAUAUGUCACUGGCCUCUGCCUUUCAUAUUUAAGACUGUUUAUUUAGGUAAAGUAGAAAACAUUGUAAUGUCAUUUAAUUUUUAACAUAAGAUGAAUACAGUGCAGAAAUGCCUCCAGAUUUUCUAAAGUACAGAACAUUUCGUGUCAAGACUAGAUUACAGUUAAUGAGCAAAUGUUGAAAUUUAUGAUUUUACCCUACAGAAAGUAUACAUAAGUAUGCCAGUCAUAUUGCAGACCUUCCAGUAACACCACCACACACACAGUUAAUUCACAUAUAUGAUGGUUAAAAAUACAACAGCUGCACGCACGUGGAUGUUAUCUAUUAUAUACCAUGCUUCAUCUACUAGAGAAAAUAGAAAAUGCAGGUAGGAAAUUCAAGAGAAAAACUGGGCAGGGAAGGAAGGUGAGAAUGCAGCAUACCUAUGUCUAUUAUUAUACUGUGAAUCAGAAUGUUUUUGAUGUAGGAACCUGCGAAGUGAAGUAAGAACAAUCAUGCCAAUUCACCAAGAAUCCUACUGGCAAACUGUAACAUCACCUCCUGGUAAUUUAAUUAUUUCACAAACAAUAUUUUUGUUUGCACACCAAACUGUUUGAAGAUCUACAUUCCUUUACAAAGGGAUCCCUUUACAAGACAUAGCAAAACAAUCAAAAUGAUUACCUUGUCAAAAGCUUUACCAAGAGCAUUUUCUAAAGAUAGAUCUUCUACUUCAAGAGCUGGAUUAUAACGUUUCAGUUCUCUCAGACACGCAUUCAAAAUGUCCAGGAUUGAAGUCUGGAUAGCAAGCAUACUAGGAGUCAUUGACACGUGUAUUUCCACCACUUCAGGUUUAUGCUUCUCUAAAAAUGAGUUCACUGCUAUAUGAAAUCUACAAGGAAAACAGCUUAUUAAGAUUUACGAAUAUUUUGCUUGACACCAUAAUUCAAAAAGUUCAUACAAACUAAAGUUACAAGUGAUUUAAAUGUAAACAAGUAGGCUAAAUGCAAAUCGUAACCCUUUCGACAGAGACAAAGACUGCAGUCUGAUGAAUGGUCUCAUAAAACCACCUGAUGAUUCCCUGACUACAACUGUUUUCAUCCUCAUCAUAUGAGCCUAUAGCACUGGUGACUGAUCCCUGGAGAACUACUGCACUAGAUUUCACAUUGUUAUUGCAGGUAACAAAUCCUGAAGUAAAAACAAAAGAUCUCAUAAAGAGGAGACUGUAAUGGGCUCAUAAACGCUUUGAAAUCACAUGGAUCCACUGGCAAAUACUGUGAUAUCCUUAGCUUUGAAUAAUACGCAGCAGGUCCCUGGCUAUAGGGGCUGUGUUGUAACAAUGAGGCUAUUGCUACAUGGGUGCUAGCUGAUUUUGACUAACAGAAGACAACAGAGAAGAACACUACCAACCUCAGGUCUCUCCAUCGUUCAGAAACUCUAAAUUUUCUUCCUUAGCUUGUGUUCAACCUUUCCUACCCUAGCUGUGUCCAUUUCUAUUUUUUUGUAAUGCUAAAAGGAAAACUUAAAAUUUUGACUUUACAGUGCAGAGCAUGAGUACACGAGAUGGAGUGAAACACAUUCUAGACUGGACAGAAGGAGCAGAUAUGCACACCCCUGGUCCAACGCAAGAGCACCGAAUGGGUGAUCAGCUGAACUGACCAACUCUGUGGCUCUGCACCUGAAAGACUUACUGCAUGCCACAGGCUUGGCAACCUAGUUUCUAACAGUUAUCAAGAAAUAUUCCUCACAGACUACAUACCCAUAGAGGAAGAUUACAGAAAAACCCAACAACUGAUUAAACACAAACCAAUAAAACACAGACAGAGAUAAUCAUGGAGCUUCUUCACAACUGGAAACAAAUCCUUCCGUGCAUGGUAGAAUUGCAGGACCAUAUCCCUGUUACUUCAUGGCUUCAAGAUGACGUUUAAUAAAUUACACUUUUCUUAAGCUAUUAUAAAUAUCACUAUCUACUAUGAUUUCUACUGGCUAGAAGGACAGUUAUACUGUAAGGUUCUGCCUCUUAUAGAUUUAACUUGAGUCUAUUUUCAAAAACGCCUUGAGAAAUUUAGCAUUUUUAAAAUCACUUCUUUCAAUAAAUGAGCGAAAUCAGCUUGUGAAUACAAAUACAGAAUACAGACUAGCAGUGUGCCUACAUAAAAUUAAUUUUGUUAGGAGUCCAUGGUAGCAAUCAUAAUAAUUUUAAGUUCAGUGUAGUAGAGAGGUAUCUUACCUUGGCCACAGGUAAAGUUUCCUGACAAAAAGGUUUCUCAUCACUCUUUCCACUUGGCAAAAACCAGUGUUAAAUGCAACUGCAUUAUCUGUAAAAGCUUUAAUGAAGCCUUCCUUGUUUUUUUGGCGAUAAAGUCGCAAUAUAAAUGAUUCCUGACAGGACUCAAUGAUUCUGUGUGCUUUGUAUACCAAAACACCUGAGAAAAUAAAUGGUUUUCAAGUUAAAAAGUAGUAAAGAAAGGCUGAAUACUUUAUGUAUUUUUCCCAAGUUUGUCUUACUCUUCUGUUUUUGUUCAAGUACAAUUUCAGCCUUCUAAAAUGACAUCAAACAAGCUUACGGGGGUUCAUAAAAUAGCUUGGGUUAGAAAGGACCUCAGAGAUCAUUGAAAUCCAGCCCCACAGCCAUGGGCAGGGCUGCCCCCUACCAGCUCAGGCUGCCCAGGGCCCAUCCCACCUGGCCUCAAACACCUCCAGGGCUGGGGCAUCCAUAGCUUCUCUGGGCAGCCUGUGCCAGCAGCUCACCACUCUCUGACUGAAAAUUUCCCCAACAUCUAACCUAAAUCUCUCCUCUUUUAGUUUAAAGCUGUUCCCUUUUGUUCUAUCCCUGUUUGCCUGUAUAAAAAGUCAGUCUCUCUCCUGAAACCUAGCAACUCCUCACUUACAUUACCACAGAGCCUCUCAGUUACAGAGCUGGGUUAAUGAUGAUCUUUAGCGAAAAAACCCUGUGCUCGAGUAGCAGGACUCAGUAGCUUCCACAGUGCUUCAUUCUUUAAGCACGACUUGGACUUGGAACUUUUGAAAGGAGGAAGACUGAAUGCAAGAUGUAACACAGUAACACCACAGAGCAAGUUUGAUAUCUGAAUUCUUUUAUUACAGAAGUUCUAUAAUCAUAGACUUGUUGAAUAUGUUUCUUUGAUUAUCAAAAAACUUGAACUAUUCUCAAAGAACUUCUGAAAAUAUUUUUUGUGCUAUUUCCUCCUUCUGAUAUUCAUAUUCACAAUUGUGGACAGAAGGGAUUUUCAACUUAAUGGCUACACCAGCAACUUUAUUCACAGCUAUGAGCAUUGGGAAAAAACUUUUGUACGCAUUUUAGUACAGAGAAAUGAAACAAUAGUUAAACUGCCUUUGGCCUUUGAGGCAAACACGUUAGUUGCCCAAGAAACAAAUUUCUGCUGGUUUUGCACGAUCUCACUUACAGGCAGUAUGUUUCUAAUAGAAACACGUUUCAGCUGAGCUUUUAAUCUCUAAAAGCUGCUGUCACACUGACCUCUGGUGGCACUACGUGGAGUAGGACAACUCUAGGUCAUUUCAGGUCAGGAGGUUUUGGUUUUUUAAGUCUCCAGUGUGUUUCUUCUUUUCAUCCACACAAAACCAAAGUAGGGCGCCUCAAAACUUUACUUUUUUUUUUAACCUAGAAAUAACAGAACUGAGUAUGGUGUCCUUUGGCUGCAGCAUGAAAACUGUUUAAAAUGUUGCACAGAUUAGAACUUCUCAUAUACUGACUAAAAUGAAAGAGAGUUUCUGAAGCAAAAACUUACAUACAUCUGAGCAUUCAAUAUUCAGUUGUAUUCAGCCAUUAUUAUGACGCUAAUAUUUAUAUAACACUAAAAUAUUCUUAUAUCCCUGGCUCUUAAUAUCUGAUUUACUGGCUCUGUGGGCUUUAAGAGGGCUUCUGCCUUAGACAAGAAUAUAAAAGCAAGCAGGGAAAGAGGGGGAACAGAACAUGGGAGAACAAGCAUGCACAAGUUCUAUACAACAACAAAAGGUCACAAGGUAUUUCCCAACUCUUUAGAACACUGUUAUUUCAUAACAGAAAGCAUCUAAAGUGUUACAAGGGGAAGAUUAGUUAGGCAUUGUUAUUUUAUUUGAUGGGAAAAGUUGUCAUGAGGAAUUCAUUAAUGCAAAAAACCGCAUGCUUAUCAACCGUACACACUGGCAAUCGGUUUCGAUCACAGGCUGUGUUCUAAGAGUAUUCUGGAUGCUACUUCACCAGGCACAGACGAUUUUUCUACUUGGGAAGCAAUGCAGUCAAUGUGAAGACGUUUCUUACGCCAAUGGCAAUUUCACUGGUGAUUGUUUUCCAAGUGGUUACUGAUAUCAAAAUCCCUACAGAUGCAUUACCCACUAUCUAAAAAGAAUGUGGGUGUUGUGUCAUUAAACAAAGCAAAUGAGUGCAACCUAUUGCAGGGACCUGCUUUAGCAGGAGGUUGGACUCAGUGAUCUCUUGAAGUCCCUUCCAACCCCUGUGAUUCUGUGAUGACGACUAAAAGAAAAAAGGAAGUGCAUAUUUGCACCUUUCACCAAAGUCUUAUUAAAGAAAUAAUUCUUUAGCCUCAACACCAUGAGUAGAACUCCACACAGAGUUAAGCUUUAUGUAUUUUUAAACAGAACAGCCAUCCGUUUCCUUCAUUAAGCUCUUACCAGUGAUGAGGUUUGCAGGGAUUCUGUCGGUGAGGAAAUCAACCACGAGGAUUCUGCUAGUUGCAAAGAGAACCCCCCCCUGCGUGUAGAACUCAUAGCGGGUGUUGCUGGGGAUCUCAUUGGUGACACGCCGAGGAAGGUGCACAACUCCAUCCGACCGCAGCUGGUCAAUAAAAUACUCCUGCAGCAGGCACAGUGAGAACACAGACCUUCGUUAUGGAUCUCAAGAGAAUCUUAAUUAUGCAUGUUCCGCUUAUUUAGAAAAACGGCCCCAAACCAAUUGAAAACAUGGCAGCGUGAGACGCUACCCAAAGAAAGUUAGGACUUCUUUUCUUGUCGGUACAGCUGGGUAAGCACCAGCCUUGUUCGGGUGGCUCAAAGCCCCGCACAUUGUCAAUAGCAGACACACAGGACUUAAGUGUGACCCACGGCACGUCGGCACUCUGGAAUUCUUAGCAUCCCGUUUUCCCCUGUGUUGUCGUGGCACUUCUAAAGAGAUGAGGCAAUUUUAACACCGACUUACGGACGGAGAAUUGGAAAGGGAGCACCCGCUGCCAAAGGCAGCUACGGCAGGGCAGCCACUGCGUCAAACUUUCCCUCAAAAUCCACGGCCUCUGCCGGGCCCGGCCCGCUCCGCGCCCCGCCGCCUCCUCGCCCCGCCCCGCGGCCCGGCGCCGGGCGCGAAGGGUUCAGCUCACCUCCUCGGCGGGGCUCGUGUUCAGCACCAGCACCAGGCUGGCGGGUUCGCAGUAAAGGCGGAGGAAGCGCAGCAGCAAGCGAUCGAUGCCGAGCCCGCGGGCGCAGACCACCAGCCCGUCCUGAUGGAACAGGUCCAGGAAGAUCUGGCUCUCGUGCUCCAGCAGCGCCGCCAUCGCCGCCCCGCGACUGUUGCAACGGCGCUUGCGCGCGAGCCGAGCGCCCGCGCCCG